This 493-nucleotide ribosomal RNA is filed under the name uncultured Actinomycetes bacterium. RNAcentral describes it as "bacterial SSU rRNA". It matches the Rfam family "Bacterial small subunit ribosomal RNA", at positions 355 to 857 of the family's 1533-position model. The record is from RNAcentral. Lineage: Bacteria; Bacillati; Actinomycetota; Actinomycetes.
UGGGGAAUAUUGCGCAAUGGGCGAAAGCCUGACGCAGCGACGCCGCGUGAGGGAUGAAGGCCUUCGGGUCGUAAACCUCUUUCAGCAGGGAAGAAGCGAAAGUGACGGUACCUGCAGAAGAAGCACCGGCUAACUACGUGCCAGCAGCCGCGGUAACACGUAGGGUGCAAGCGUUGUCCGGAAUUAUUGGGCGUAAAGAGCUCGUAGGCGGUCUGUCGCGUCUGCUGUGAAAACUCAGGGCUUAACCCUGAGCUUGCAGUGGGUACGGGCAGACUAGAGUGCGGUAGGGGAGACUGGAAUUCCUGGUGUAGCGGUGAAAUGCGCAGAUAUCAGGAGGAACACCGGUGGCGAAGGCGGGUCUCUGGGCCGUAACUGACGCUGAGGAGCGAAAGCAUGGGGAGCGAACAGGAUUAGAUACCCUGGUAGUCCAUGCCGUAAACGUUGGGCGCUAGGUGUGGGGCUCGAUUCCACGAGUUCCGUGCCGCAGCUAACG